ACUGGACAUGGUGGCACAUGUUUGUAAUCCCAGCAACUUGGGAGGCUGAGACAGGAGGAUAACAAGUUCAAGGCCUGCCUUGGCAAAUUGAUGAGACCCUGUCUGAA
RNAcentral lists this small RNA (107 nucleotides) under Marmota monax (woodchuck). The record is from RNAcentral. Lineage: Eukaryota; Metazoa; Chordata; Mammalia; Rodentia; Sciuridae.